Molecule: long non-coding RNA, 663 nt
Filed under: Zonotrichia albicollis (white-throated sparrow)
Lineage: Eukaryota; Metazoa; Chordata; Aves; Passeriformes; Passerellidae
Description: lncRNA (ENSZALG00000018156.1)
Source: RNAcentral
AUGUUAUCACUGCAAUCAGAUGCUUCAGCACUUCAGACAAUCCAAUGCUUGACAGAACCAGUCAAAUUUAGCUACAAGGAUCAGAGAUACCACUCCCUCACAAGAAGUUCAAAUAUACUUGUUUUUACAGCUAACAGCAGCCAGCUCCAGCCACAAAAGCAAAAUCUGUCUCUCAGAAAAAAAAACCAAAGCCCUAGCACCUCUAGUACAUCCAGCAACAAAAGCACCUACCAGAGAACAUCAAAUCUCUAUACAGUGUCAGAAUUGAGCAGUGGACCCAAGCCUGCAGACAGGAAGCAAGCUACUGACAGAGGAUGCUCAGCCUACAAAAGAGCGGUAUCCUGUGGAUCUUGUCCCUGCAGCGACAAAGAGCCUCCAUCCUUCACCCACAGAGAGCCUCAGAAGACUGAGGAUAAAGACAAGAGACACAUACCAGAGAACAAAGUAAUAAACAGAUCCCAGAGAACUAUUAACAUCUCAGCCUUUAUGCAGUCUUGAUGGUAGACAAUUACAGUGAUGCCUUUGGAUAGCUGCUAUGCUAGAACUAGUCAACAGUGAGAAACAUAUACAGAUUUUUUUUUUUUUUUAAAUAAUCUGCUUGGUUCUGAGAGUCAUUAUACAUGGUUGAAAUAAAAUUACCAUGUGCAGUUAUUGGAAGAUGCA